Molecule: ribosomal RNA, 271 nt
Filed under: uncultured soil bacterium
Lineage: Bacteria
Description: partial 16S ribosomal RNA
Rfam family: Bacterial small subunit ribosomal RNA
Source: RNAcentral
AGAAUCAACGCUGGCGGCGUGCCUAACACAUGCAAGUCGAACGCGAAAGUGGAGCAAUCCAUUAGUAGAGUGGCAAACGGGUGAGUAACACGUGGGCGACCUACCUCAGAGUGGGGGAUAACCUUCCGAAAGGAGGGCUAAUACCGCAUGACAUCCCGUGUUUGGAUACACGGAGAUCAAAGCCGGGGAUCGUAAGACCUGGCGCUUGGAGAGGGGCCCGCGUCCGAUUAGCUAGUUGGUGAGGUAACGGCUCACCAAGGCUCCGAUCGGU